This 118-nucleotide transfer RNA is filed under the name Pyricularia grisea. RNAcentral's name for it is "tRNA-Ser". It matches the Rfam family "tRNA". Rfam says of the family: Transfer RNA (tRNA) molecules are approximately 80 nucleotides in length. Their secondary structure includes four short double-helical elements and three loops (D, anti-codon, and T loops). The record is from RNAcentral. Lineage: Eukaryota; Fungi; Ascomycota; Sordariomycetes; Magnaporthales; Pyriculariaceae.
GGCAACGUGCCUGAGUGGUUAAAGGGUAUGACUAGAACUCAUCAAUUGGAUCUUCUGGUCCACUUGACCAGGCAAUCAUAUGGCUUCGGCCUCACAGGUUCGAAUCCUGUCGUUGUCG